Molecule: non-coding RNA, 370 nt
Filed under: Pararhodospirillum photometricum DSM 122
Lineage: Bacteria; Pseudomonadati; Pseudomonadota; Alphaproteobacteria; Rhodospirillales; Rhodospirillaceae
Description: Bacterial large subunit ribosomal RNA
Rfam family: Bacterial large subunit ribosomal RNA
Source: Rfam by way of RNAcentral
GGCGAUGAAGGACGUGGCACUCUGCGAUAAGCCAUGGGGAGCCGAGAGCAGGCUUUGAUCCGUGGAUUUCCGAAUGGGGCAACCCACCCCUUUGGGGUAUCCAUUUCUGAAUUCAUAGGAAAUGGAGGCGAACCCGGUGAACUGAAACAUCUCAGUAACCGGAGGAAAGGACAUCAACCGAGACUCCGUUAGUAGUGGCGAGCGAACGCGGACUAGCCCAGUGACUUGAAGUUUCUAACCAGAACGGCAUGGAAAGGCCGGCCAUAGCGGGUGACAGCCCCGUAUGGGUGUUGAACCUUUAAGUCCUUGAGUAGGGCGGGGCACGUGAAACCCUGUCUGAACAUGGGGGGGACCACCCUGCAGGCGGCAC